RNAcentral lists this ribosomal RNA (497 nucleotides) under uncultured bacterium. RNAcentral's name for it is "partial 16S ribosomal RNA". It matches the Rfam family "Bacterial small subunit ribosomal RNA", at positions 28 to 507 of the family's 1533-position model. The record is from RNAcentral.
GAUGAACGCUGGCGGCGUGCCUAAUACAUGCAAGUCGAGCGAACGGACGAGAAGCUUGCUUCGCUGAUGUUAGCGGCGGGCGGGAGAGUAACACGUGGAUAACCUACCUAUAAGACUGGGAUAUCUUCGGGACACCGGAGGUAAUACCGGAUGAUAUCUUGAACCGCAUGGUUCAAAAGAGAAAGACGGUCUUGCUGUCACUUAUAGCUGGAUCCGCGCUGCAUUAGCUAGUUGGUAAGGUAACGGCUUACCACGGCAACGAUGCAUAGCCGACCUGUGAGGCUGGUCGGCGGCACUGGAACUGGACCGCGGUCCUGGCGCCUACGAGAGGCAGCAGACGGGAAUCUUCCGCAGUGGUCGAAAGCAUGACGGAGCAACGCCGCGUGAGAUAUGAAAGUCUUCGGAGCGUAAUACUCUGUUACUAGGGAUGAACCUCUGUCUAAGGAACUGUACACAGCUUGACGGUACCUAGUCAGAAAGCCACGGCUAACUACGUG